GGGAGGGGUUUGCAAGAAUCUGGAAGCUUGUGUGUUUUUUUCUGCAUUUUUAUGAUUUUUUGUGACCAUUGGGGCACUCUGCUGUUGUUAAAAAAAAAGAUUUCUGGGUUUGGAUUUCUGUGUGGUGGGUGGCUGGGAGGGUCAGGGAAUUGUUGAGAAGGGGUUUGCAAGAAUCUGGAAGCUUGUGUGUUUUCUGGGAGGUUUGGUGCUUUUGAAUUUUUUGGAUGUGAAGCACUGAUUUAUUUAUUUUUUGGGUUUGCGAAGGUAGGAGCUGUGCUGCCAUGGGGCCCAAGAAGACUGCUGCUGCAGAGGCCGGCGAGAGGAAGAAGGAGAAGAUUACGCUGGAAAUGAAGAAGGAGAUCAUCCGGAAGCACGACGGUGGAAUGCGUGUGACAGACCUCGCCAGGGAGUACGGGAGGAAUCCAUCGACCAUCGGGACCAUCCUGAAGAUGAGGGAGAAGAUCCUUGCGACUGAUGCAGCCAGGGAGUCACCAGGAUCGUGAAGAACCGCCCAGCUGUUCUGGAGGAGGUCGAGAAGUUGCUGCUCAUCUGGUUAGAAGAGAAGCAGCGUGCAGGGGACACAGUGACUGAGGCCGUCAUUUGUGAGAAGGCCAAGGCCUUGCACACAGACCUCGUCCGGCAACAGCCAGGAACCUCAGGCGAGCCAGAAGUCUUCAAGGCAAGCAGAGGCUGGUUUGACCGGUUCAGGACGAGAUCUGGAAUCCACCGCGUGGUCAGGCAUGGAGAGGCUGCCAGUUCUGAUGUUCCUGUGGCUGAAGACUUUGCAGCAGAGUUCCUGGAGGUUGUGACGAUGGAGGGCUACGUUCCCCAGCAGGUCUUCAACUGCGACGAGACCGGGCUGUUUUGGAAGAGGAUGCCCAAAAGGACUUUCAUCACUCAGGAGGAGGCCAAGUUGCCUGGCCACAAGCCCAUGAAGGACCGUCUGACCCUGCUCUUCUGUGCCAACGCAAGCGGCGACCUGAAGAUCAAGCCCCUGCUGGUGUACCACUCGGAGAACCCACAGGCCUUCAAGAAACACAAGGUCGACAAGGAGAAGCUGAGUGUCAUGUGGCGAUCCAACAGUAAGGCUUGGGUCACACGUGUGCUGUUUGUGGACUGGGUCAAUCUUGCUUUUGGCCCUGCUGUCAAACAGUACCUGCUGGACAACGACCUGCCGCUGAAGGCUUUGCUUCUGAUGGACAAUGCUCCUGCUCAUCCUAAAGGCCUUGAGGAGGACUUGUUGGAGGAGUUCAGCUUCAUCAACAUCAUGUUCCUGCCGCCUAACACCACGCCACUGCUCCAGCCGAUGGAUCAGGAGCUCAUCGCCAAUUUCAAAAAACUCUACACCAAGGAGCUUUUCAGGCGAUGCUUUGAGGUGACUGAUUGCACCAACAUCACCCUGCAGGAAUUCUGGAAGGACCACUUCGACAUCGUCACCUGCUUGAAGAUGAUCACCAGGGCCUGGGACGGGAUCAGCCAGAGAAAUUUGAAUUGCGCUUGGCGCAGCCUGUGGCCGGACUGUGUGGCACCAAGUGACUCUGAUGCACCAGAGUCAACAGUGGUGCAGGACAUUGUUUCCUUGGGGAGGACCAUGGGCCUGGAGGUCACAGAGGAGGACAUCAGCGAGCUGGUGGAGGAGCACGACCACGAGCUGACCACCCAGGAGCUGGUCGAACUGCAGGCAGAGGCUGCGCAGGAGCAGGCCUCGCUGGAAGAGGAGGAAGCAACUGAGGAACGGCUGUCCUCCAAAGAACUGAGGGACAUUUGCCAGAAGUAGAAAGAUGUGCAGGCUUUUGCACAGCGGCACCACCCUGACAAGGACCUGACACGUGACCUUGCGAACACUUUUGAUACGAGGGUCAUGUCGUCUUUCAGGGAGGUGCUGAAAAGGCGGAUGAAGCAGCAGACCAUGGACAGGUUCUUCAGCAAGAAGCAAAGAGUGGAAGAGGAACCUUCUUCGAGUUGUCCCCCAGAGUCUUAGAAAAUGUAUGUACAGUGGUGCCCCGCAAGACGAAUGCCUCGCAAGACGGAAAACCCGCUAGAUGAAAGGGUUUUCCGUUUUGGAGGUGCUUCGCAAAACGAAUUUCCUAUGGGCUUGCUUUGCAAGACGAAAAUGUCUUGCGAGUUCCUGCGGGGUUUUUUUCCUCCCCCCCCUUUUCCCCAAGCCGCUAAGCCGCUUAUCAGCUGAUCCGCUAAGCUGCUUAUCAGCUGAUCCGCUAAGCCGCUUAACAGCUGAUCCGUUAAGUCACUAAGCCGCUUAUCAGCUGAUCCGCUAAGCCGCUUAUCAGCUGAUCCGCUAAACCGCUUAACAGCUGAUCCGUUAAGCCACUAAGCCGCUUAUCAGCUGAUCCGCUAAGCCGCUUAACAGCUGAUCCGUUAAGCCACUAAGCCGCUUAUCAGCUGAUCCGCUAAGCCGCUAAUAGCGCUAAACCGCUAAUGGGCUUGCUUCGCAAGACGAAAAAACCGCAAGACGAAGAGACUCGCGGAACGGAUUCUUUUCGUCUUGCGAGGCACCACUGUACAGUACAGUACACUUUGGUUAUUUUAAAAUGCUUUUCUGUCAUGUUUAGAAACUUAAAUUAUUGUUCCUUCAAUUUUUGAAAUGCUCUUUACAGUAUGUGUGACUUUAAAGAGCACUUAAUAAACUCUCUUUGUACCCAAUUUGGCUUUGUUUGGACUUUUUUUGACCAUAGGAACACAUUAAUUGAUUUUCAGUGCAUUCCUAUGAGAAACCGUGCUUCGCAAGACAAAAAAUUCGCUAGACGAAAAAACUCGCAGAACGAAUUAAUUUCGUCUUGCGAGGCACCACUGUAUAUGAAUACGUAAGAAGGUGCACAUUGGGACAAUUCCAUUAAAGGUGUGCACAUUUGUUUUGGUAAAAAUUCACAAAGCAGUGUUGAUAGCACAAACAUCCUGGCAUUGGUGGGCUUAUUAACAUGAAAUGUUGGAUUCCAUCAGUCUCGAGAUACAAUGGAGUGCCCAUCCAGAAGGCGAAAUCAAACCAUUGGCGAAUCUCUGCGGCUGCAGAGACCGGUAACUCGUAACCGCUGCCUCCUGUGCUUGGUUUUGCUGUGUUAGUCUGGGCAGUGUGCGAGUAUGUCCUAGACUGCAGCGGCGUAGCGUGGGUUGUCUGCACCCGGGGCAAGGCAAGAAAUUUGCGCCCCCUAACCCAGGGCAAGGCAAGUAAUUUGCGCCCCCUAACCUGCCGCCGCUGCCAGCUUCUUCUUGCUGCUGCCUGGGCUGGUCUGGUGUGGUUCUCUCCCACGCUCAGCGCUGCGCUGGGCGGCCGCUGCACUGUCCCUCUCCCAGAUAGUCCCUCACUCUCUCUCUGCACCGCACGCCUGGCACCCACCCCCUCCACAGUGGGCGGCGACCCAGCGGCUUGGAUCGGAUUCACACAGCCAGCACUGCAGUGAGAGAGAGUGAGUGAGCCAGGUAGGGGCAGAGAGCUGCGAGUGCGAGCGCUCCCCCCCCAGAUGUUGCGCCCGGUGCGCCCGGCCCCCCCUGCACCCCCCACACUACGCCACUGCUAGACUGCCCAGAAAACAAGACCCUGCUCACGGCCUUGCUGACGUGAUCCAAAAGAAAGCAGAGCAUACAACUGGCACCAGCAGUUGGAAUUGCCAAACUGAGGCAUAAUCCAACAAUCCAACCAUUUUAGGGAUUCCACUCUGAUUUUGUGUAGGGCUUACUCCUUAGCAUUUUUCAUCUUUGUCUCAAUGCAGGUGACAAGACAUCACAAGUAGACACAAAAAACUCAGUACGACCAAAUUGCUAUUAAAAAUCCACUUUCCUACAUGGCUCCAAUUAGAC
RNAcentral lists this long non-coding RNA (3813 nucleotides) under Podarcis lilfordi (Lilford's wall lizard). The record is from RNAcentral. Lineage: Eukaryota; Metazoa; Chordata; Lepidosauria; Squamata; Lacertidae.